RNAcentral lists this long non-coding RNA (251 nucleotides) under Hordeum vulgare. RNAcentral describes it as "long non-coding RNA (HVUL_LNC002016)". Lineage: Eukaryota; Viridiplantae; Streptophyta; Magnoliopsida; Poales; Poaceae. The record is from RNAcentral.
UUCGUUUCGAUUUCUCAGGCGCGCAUGGAGCAGCAGCAGAGCCAUGCUUUAUGGAACAAGAUUUGUAGAAGGCGAGUAGAAAGUAAGCAGCACCAACUGUCUGCCUGACUCGGACGGAACACACGGAGAAGAAGCUGAGGAGUGAGUGAGAGGUCGUCUUCACUUCAUCCUCGUCUUUCUUUCGUCUACUGCUGCUACUAAAGGCUAAAUAAUUAAGCUGCAUCCACUACGGGUACGGUGGCGGGCGGGCG